ACUUUUUAGCAUGCCUUUUUUAAAAAUUUGAGAUUUUUAUGGCAAACAAUCAGGAUUUCGAUGCUGAUCACGAAUUAGUAUUUGAUGCGGUCUGGGACAUAACUCCCAGUGGCAUUUCUACAAGGUUUCUACAUUGGUGCAUUGGACAAGAGGGAGUGACCGUCUGAUCCUCAGAAAUACCGAUGGAUGAAAUUUUGAAUAGAAAUAUACUGUCUAAUUUUCCAAAUAUACUGAAGAAUUAUUCCUUAACUUUGAUAUUUGGUCGAAUAUUAGUAGCUAAUAAGAUCCUCAGCGCUAAACAUAAAAUGUUAACCGAUUUAUGAAUAAAUUUUCUACAAGGACUUCCUUAAAA
This is a long non-coding RNA of Drosophila pseudoobscura, 352 nucleotides long. RefSeq lists it as uncharacterized. The record is from RefSeq and is a predicted model, not a curated record. NCBI's taxonomy places the organism in Eukaryota, Metazoa, Arthropoda, Insecta, Diptera, Drosophilidae. The transcript is spliced from 2 exons.